Long non-coding RNA from Brassica napus (rape), 332 nucleotides. RefSeq lists it as uncharacterized. Lineage: Eukaryota; Viridiplantae; Streptophyta; Magnoliopsida; Brassicales; Brassicaceae. The transcript has 2 exons. The record is from RefSeq and is a predicted model, not a curated record.
GUGAGAAGAAGGUACGGAAGGCGGGAGUGUUGAUUGGUGGCUGAGAUUGAACAGCUUGCUGAUUGGUGACUGGGAGCGGCGGUGGAGUGGACAUGGCGGUGGCGCGUGAGGUUAGGUACGGCUGAUUUGGGCGAGAGGUUUGGAUCUUAAGAUUGGAUCAGAUCCGAGCUCCGUGUUAGAUAUUUUUGGGCCUAAUACAUAAGGUUGCACCGGCCAAUACCUUCAAGUCACGAGCCCUCAGCUACGUUCUGUUUUUAAGAAUCCGGUUUUGGUUUCGCUGGGCUAUAUCUCUUUAUGUGGAUGCAUUGUGAAAUGGGGAUUCAUUCAAAUUU